This 472-nucleotide ribosomal RNA is filed under the name uncultured bacterium. RNAcentral describes it as "SSU rRNA". It matches the Rfam family "Bacterial small subunit ribosomal RNA", at positions 26 to 518 of the family's 1533-position model. The record is from RNAcentral.
AGGACGAACGCUGGCGGCGUGCUUAACACAUGCAAGUCGAGCGGAAAGGCCCUUCGGGGUACUCGAGCGGCGAACGGGUGAGUAACACGUGAGUAACCUGCCCCUAGCUCUGGGAUAGCUCCGGGAAACCGGGAUUAAUACCAGAUACGACCACUUUAGACAUCUGUCGUGGUGGAAAGGAUUCCGGCUAGGGAUGGGCUCGCGGCCUAUCAGCUUGUUGGUGGGGUAACGCCUACCAAGGCGACGACGGGUAGCCGGCCUGAGAGGGCGACCGGCCACACUGGGACUGAGACACGGCCCAGACUCCUACGGGAGGCAGCAGUGGGGAAUAUUGCGCAAUGGGCGAAAGCCUGACGCAGCGACGCCGCGUGGGGGAUGAAGGCCUUCGGGUUGUAAACCCUUUCAGCAGGGACGAAGCGAAAGUGACGGUACCUGCAGAAGAAGCGCCGGCUAACUACGCGCUAGCAGCCGC